Molecule: ribosomal RNA, 433 nt
Filed under: uncultured bacterium
Lineage: Bacteria
Description: partial 16S ribosomal RNA
Rfam family: Bacterial small subunit ribosomal RNA
Source: RNAcentral
AACGAACGCUGGCGGCAUGCCUAACACAUGCAAGUCGAACGAGACCUUCGGGUCUAGUGGCGCACGGGUGCGUAACGCGUGGGAACCUGCCCUUAGGUUCGGAAUAACUCCCCGAAGGGGGUGCUAAUACCGGAUAAUUUCUUCGGACCAAAGAUUUAUCGCCUUUGGAUGGGCCCGCGUUGGAUUAGCUAGGUGGUAGGGUAAAAGCCUACCAAGGCGACGAUCCAUAGCUGGUCUGAGAGGAUGAUCAGCCACACUGGGACUGAGACACGGUCCAGACUCCUACGGGAGGCAGCAGUGGGGAAUAUUGGACAAUGGGCGAAAGCCUGAUCCAGCAAUGCCGCGUGAGUGAUGAAGGCCUUAGGGUUGUAAAGCUCUUUUACCCGGGAUGAUAAUGACAGUACCGGGAGAAUAAGCUCCGGCUAACUCCGUG